RNAcentral lists this ribosomal RNA (1644 nucleotides) under Burkholderia lata. RNAcentral describes it as "23S ribosomal RNA (partial)". It matches the Rfam family "Bacterial large subunit ribosomal RNA", at positions 1285 to 2925 of the family's 2925-position model. Lineage: Bacteria; Pseudomonadati; Pseudomonadota; Betaproteobacteria; Burkholderiales; Burkholderiaceae. The record is from RNAcentral.
GAAGUGCGAAUGCUGACAUGAGUAGCGAUAAAGGGGGUGAAAGGCCCCCUCGCCGUAAGCCCAAGGUUUCCUACGCAACGUUCAUCGGCGUAGGGUGAGUCGGCCCCUAAGGCGAGGCAGAAAUGCGUAGCUGAUGGGAAGCAGGUCAAUAUUCCUGCACCAUUGUUAGAUGCGAUGGGGGGACGGAUCGCGGAAGGUUGUCCGGGUGUUGGAAGUCCCGGUCGCUGCAUUGGAGAAGGCGCUUAGGCAAAUCCGGGCGCGGAAUUCAAGGGUGUGGCGCGAGCUCCUUAGGGAGCGAAGCAAUUGGAAGUGGUUCCAAGAAAAGCCUCUAAGCUUCAGUCUAACGAUGACCGUACCGCAAACCGACACAGGUGGGCGAGAUGAGUAUUCUAAGGCGCUUGAGAGAACUCGGGAGAAGGAACUCGGCAAAUUGGUACCGUAACUUCGGGAUAAGGUACGCCCUUGUAGCUUGAUGCCCCUGCGGGCAAAGGGUGAAGGGGUUGCAAUAAACUGGUGGCUGCGACUGUUUAAUAAAAACACAGCACUCUGCAAACACGAAAGUGGACGUAUAGGGUGUGACGCCUGCCCGGUGCCGGAAGAUUAAAUGAUGGGGUGCAAGCUCUUGAUUGAAGUCCCGGUAAACGGCGGCCGUAACUAUAACGGUCCUAAGGUAGCGAAAUUCCUUGUCGGGUAAGUUCCGACCUGCACGAAUGGCGUAACGAUGGCCACACUGUCUCCUCCCGAGACUCAGCGAAGUUGAAGUGUUUGUGAUGAUGCAAUCUACCCGCGGCUAGACGGAAAGACCCCAUGAACCUUUACUGUAGCUUUGCAUUGGACUUUGAACCGAUCUGUGUAGGAUAGGUGGGAGGCUAUGAAACCGGAACGCUAGUUUCGGUGGAGCCGUCCUUGAAAUACCACCCUGGUUUGUUUGAGGUUCUAACCUUGGCCCGUGAUCCGGGUCGGGGACAGUGCAUGGUAGGCAGUUUGACUGGGGCGGUCUCCUCCCAAAGCGUAACGGAGGAGUACGAAGGUACGCUAGGUACGGUCGGAAAUCGUGCUGAUAGUGCAAUGGCAUAAGCGUGCUUAACUGCGAGACCGACAAGUCGAGCAGGUGCGAAAGCAGGUCAUAGUGAUCCGGUGGUUCUGUAUGGAAGGGCCAUCGCUCAACGGAUAAAAGGUACUCUGGGGAUAACAGGCUGAUACCGCCCAAGAGUUCAUAUCGACGGCGGUGUUUGGCACCUCGAUGUCGGCUCAUCUCAUCCUGGGGCUGUAGCCGGUCCCAAGGGUAUGGCUGUUCGCCAUUUAAAGAGGUACGUGAGCUGGGUUUAAAACGUCGUGAGACAGUUUGGUCCCUAUCUGCCGUGGGCGUUGGAUAUUUGAAGGGGGCUGCUCCUAGUACGAGAGGACCGGAGUGGACGAACCUCUGGUGUACCGGUUGUCACGCCAGUGGCAUCGCCGGGUAGCUAUGUUCGGAAGAGAUAACCGCUGAAAGCAUCUAAGCGGGAAACUCGCCUUAAGAUGAGAUAUCCCUGGGGACUAGAUCCCCUUGAAGGGUCGUUCGAGACCAGGACGUUGAUAGGUCAGGUGUGUAAGCGCAGUAAUGCGUUCAGCUAACUGAUACUAAUUGCCCGUAAGGCUUGAUCC